AGCACCGCAACAGGGACUCGGGAGGGGCGGAGGGGGCGAGGCAGGGGCCACGGCCCCGGGGGAUCCUCGGCCCCACUGUGCACCACACACUCCUUUCCCUGCCCAGGGGCACGCGAUCAAAAUGAGGCUCAAGCUGACCAGGCCGAGCCGGAGGAACGCUGGGGCUUGGCAGCAGAAGGGUUGGGACCAGAGAGAAGGGUGUGGAGGAGACCCCAGUGAGGGCCAGGACAUUUCAGAUAAAGAGAGGUCAUAUCUCCGUACCUCACUUCCUGACACAAACAAGUUUUCACUGUUGUCAGCAACAAAGCCCUAAUAUAGCUGCGGAAGAGAAAAACUGCAUUGCAUUUUGCCUCCUGCAAGCAUCGUCAACAGUUACUGGAGGAAUGUAAUUCCAGAAAGCUUGAAAGCCGUGGUGAUGGUAAUUAUGUAUCAAAUGCCUGGUUCUAUUUCUGUUAUUAUUGUUUUGUCAUUUCUGUUCUCCCAGCGAUCUGACUGAACUCGCAGAGGGGCAAAUCCGGUUUUUCUUUUUUGACUUUUGUCAAACUGAAUCAGGCCUGAUAGAAAAACUCAUUGCUCUCCGGGGAAACAAAGUAGGAGCCACGAAAUGUCAUUUUAACAGAGCGUGGGUUUGCUGACUGUAGGAAAGGAUUUGAGGACGCUCCUUCUGUUCGGCUUCCUAUGUCAUGAGCACAGGCUCCACGCACGCACAGACACCACGGCUCCCGGAUGCUGUGGCUCCGCGAUCUGGGCUCCUGCAGCGCCAGAAGCCCCUCCGGGAUGCUGCGAGGGGCUCCCGGUGGGUGGAGGUACGGACGCCGCUGCGUCCGCCGCCGCCGCCAGUCCUGCUGCUGUUGUUGCUGCUGCAGUCACGUGGGAGCCCCUUUAAGUUUCCAUAGAGAGGCCUCUCCGGUGUCACAUGAUGGACAUGAUAUAAUGAAACAACAUUGUGGAGAGGAAAGCAUUAGGGGAGCCCACGGCUACAAAAACAAGUGAGUGAGAAGAGGUGGGAGGAAGAGAAACUACGCCACCUCCCCUGCAGCCGAGCGCACGCAACAGCCUGGCGUGACAAGUGGGCGAUGCCGGGGGAGGGGGCAGGGAGCCGGGGUCCUCGACCCUGGCCGGGGACCUCACCGCCCACCGCCCACCGCGCGAACAACUUUUAGCCCGCAGCCCCGGUCGGCGCGGCACCUGUCUGCGGAGUCUCCACCGCUCCUCCAGAUCAUCCCAGGGAAAUUCUCGAAGAAUACGCUCUACAAAUCUACGUGCGCAUCGUUUUCCCCUCGCAUCGCCCCCGGGAGGAAGGAACCAGGCAAAGAGCUAAGCAGCGUGCCUUUAGCCCUGGGGCAUUUUAUUAAUGCUUUUACGAGUUAGAAGAGUUGAGAUACGGUGCCAUCUGGAGUUUCUCUGCCUUGCUGAUCUGAGCUCAGACCUGCCAGUUUAUGAGAGAUGAUUGAUAACACCCCAUAACAGCUGAGAGGAACAUGGAAGAAACAGAGAUACUUUUAGUGGAACGGAAUAAACCACUGAACAGUGCCUUGAUUUUCCCAUUGGGAAAAAUGAGGAAGCUAUGAGUACCAGUGGAAGGAAUGAGCCAGGGAGACAGACUGGAACCACCUCAGAAGCUGUGCCCCUCAGCCUGGAACCUGCCCUGUCUCCUCCCAGCUGAUGAGGUAGGAGGCUCAGCACUGGCUGCUGGGAGGGUCAGUGGGCCUGUGAGUUAGGAAGGAGGUGGCCCAGAGCAUGGGUCUCUGGGUCCUGAUUAUUUGACUUUUCGAUGACUAGGAUAAGAAACCAGGGCUUAGCUAGUUGGAGAGUUACCAGAACCUCAGGUGACAGUUGUAAGGCAGCACAUAGUGAAAAAGAGUCCUAGGCUGGGAAAGUCCAAAAUCUUGGAUCUGGUUUCAGUUCACUCACCUAUCUCUGUGACGUAACAAAGUCUCUUAACUUCUCUAAUUUUCUGAUUAGUGAUACAGUUGCAGGAAUGAAAUAAAAAUGGUUCUGAUUACUCAAAGAUUCAUUUACUGAUUACUCUUCUUGUGGUCUGAAUGAAGAAUGCAAUAUCUCUCAAAAGGUAACUAUUUAAUAUUUCAGGAAAUUAGAGAAGUUAAGAGACUUUGCUGUAUUACACAGGUAAUUGACAGACAGCUGAGACCAGACCCAAGAUUCAUUCAUAGAAUGAGGGAGUUGAAAAGUACAUACUCUGAGAUUAAUCCUAAAUAAACGAAAGUCUAGGCAAGUGGCUGAGCUAGGUUUGCCAUGAAUCAGUCUGCUGGGUAUAUUUCUUGGUAACUAGUUCAUCUUUCCUUAAUUCAGUCAACAAAUAGGGUAUCAAGUUUAGUACGAUGAUGGUGGAUGUCAUGUAAUACCCCAUCUAGAAGACUGUGUGCUUCUUGCCUUCCCUAACUUUUUUUAAUCUACCUUAAGCUUCCCUUCCGAAAGGUUUCUGUCUUUCCUAUCAGUCUCUUCUUUCCCCCCUAUACCUCUUGUGUUUAAGAAUUGAAGGAAGAUGAGCUAAGAAUAAAGAAAUACCUAAAACUGAUUCCUGUUACUGACCCCACUCUGCCACUUGCCCAGAGUUAUGGUAUAAAUUUUUUUAAUAGGCUGAAAUAAAAGUAUGAAUAGUAUUUUGGUAUUAAGCAUUAAAUUGAUAAAAGUAAAGGCUAUGAGAUAUAGCUGCUCCUCAACCAUGUUAAUUUUUUAUUAUUGGUAUUAAUAAAUGAUUGCUUAUUAACAUAUUACUAACAGGAAUUGCAUUGAGAAACAAAGUAGCCACAGGCCAAAUCUUUUGAAUUUCAAAUGUUAGUACAUUCUAUUCUAGAAAAGUAGAAUAUGUCUUAAGUAGCUUUGUAAUAUGAAGUCAUCGGUCGGUCAGCCCAUUACACCUAUUAGAAUGUUUUCACCUUUAUCUCCCACUUUUUUGUUUCCAAACUGAAUGUACUUGGUCUGAUAUUUGUGGCAUAACUUACGGAACACAUAAGAAUAAUUCAGAUACUAUUUAAUGAUGACCUAGUACAAGCUUUGAUACCUGAGGUGAAGGUUUCUGUGGCCUUAACAUUUUCCUCUUGAAGAAUGUAUUUGCUAUAAUAAAAUACAGUAACUCCUUGAAAUCUAUAAACUUACGUGGGGUCUGGAUAAAUCUGAGCAACUUUCUUCUUUGUGCUCCAGGAACCCAUGCGCUAUAUAUAUAUAUAAAUAAAGCUUCAGUAAACAUUGCAGCAACCCGUGUUUUGUUUGACUAUAUUAGUAUUAUCUGAUCUUCAAAUAAUGAUGAAAAAUAGCCCUUAACCUAAACCAUGAACGGAUAUAAACUUCAGGGAAACAGUUUCUUGGAUAAUUAAACUUUAAUUUCUCACCGUGCCAUACUCUGAUCUUGUAAUAUUUUUUAAAGCAGUCCUGGGGAUUUAUUUUUAAGGCGUCCAAAUGAAUUAUUAGUUCUCAAAAGCCAUAAUAUAUUUGUGGGUCGAUAUAUCCCCAAAACACUAUUUUUUAACUGCUUAGUUUAUUUUUCUUAGCAUGCUCCUCUGCUGCGUAAUUUUCUUUGCUGUGGGUCACGUGAUUCCUCCCGUCCAUAACUCACGCACUUAAAAUUCUCACUUCCUGAUUGAGCCAUUAGAUUACGUAAAAUGUAAAUCAGGCUGAAUACCUAAGAGCAGGAAUUUUAAGGGGAAAAUGCCGUGUUCUUUUUCUGUUUUAUUAUUAACCCUUAAAUAUCAGAGUGAGUGUCUGCUCCUCUGUUUGUAUUUGGAAACGAGAGACUGUUAGGGGUUUUUCUUGGCCCUUCCCUUUCAGAUUGAAUCAGACUUCGCUGCUUUCAUUAUAAAAAAUAAUGUACCAACUAGAUAGACGGUAGGAGUGGGAUCGUUGCAGUAAUGAAACCAAAAGGGCUCCAGUUAUUGAGAGAGAUUCGUUUAUUUAUUAACUCUUUUCAUGAUCUGAAUGAAGAGCACAGCAUCUGCCAAAAGGUAACAAUCUGAUAUUUCAGAAUUGGAAGUGGCCAUUUAGCCUUUCUGCUGCCUCAUAUAAAUGAAAGUAAUUUCUAGCAGGCAGGAUGACGCGUGUUUUAUCUCGAAUCUUACAAUCCAGCACAUUUUCUCAGAGCAGUUUUGAAGCUGUCAUAGUAACAGCAUGACAUUUGGAGGGUCUUUUUAGUAGUUCUGUAGCUGGAGUUAAUUAAUUGUAUUAACUCUGGAUGUUUUUCCUUUUACUCCUCUUUGACAAACAAGGGCUAUAAUUGCUCAAAUAUGUAUUUUGUGUUCUGUAUUUUUUGGUGACUGUGGUUUAAGGAUGUGAUGUUUUGUAAGUGGUUUCAGUAAAGGUUAUCAAUUGAUUUCAGACACUUUAAACCUGGGUUUUUAAUUUCUCUGUAAAAUUGCACUAUCAUUGUAGGACCAGGAUUUAGUUUUAUUUAAGAAGUGAAUUUUGGGAGAUGUUCCCAGGAGAUGUUCCCACAAAAGCAAUUGUGGUUUGCUUCCAGUGGUUACAACUAUCCUUUGCUUUGAUUUUGAUGUAUUUAGAAAAAGAACUGGGAAGUGCAGAAGGGAAACAUGUCAAGCUUACAGGAGAAAACUGUUUCUUAAAAAAUGCAACAGGCAGGCACAACACCAAAAGCGCGUUCCAUAAAAGAAGACAAACACAUUUGACUUUGUGAAACUUAAGAAUACAGUGCUGUUUGAAACUCUAAAGUAUACUUUAAUACAUUCUGUGCUAGGAAGAUUUGUGGGAACUUUUUAUUGGUGGAAAGUAGGUUGGGAACUCCUAUUCUUAAUAUUAAAACUCCGUGGCAGAAAUUCUUGCCAGUACGGCGGUCAGUGAGAAAGGAGGCCCGUUUCUUGGGCAGGGAAGAGGAUCAGAAGAAAGAAUGGUCUGCACUAGGUCUGGAUGGUAGGUAGGACCUAAAAACUAUCAGAUAUACAGUGCUUUUGCUUUCUUAUAAAAGCGAACAGAGAGAUGUGACACUUGUAAAGAUCUCGUGCGUUUUGUGGGUUUCAUGCUAAGGCCACUGUCCUUACUGUUGUGUAUUUGUUCAGCUACGGGCGAUUCAAGGGAGUUGGGGUAGCAGGGUGUGCAGCCAGCAGCAGGCAAGGUGCUAAUGCAUCCCCGGUGAUGUCAGGAGUUACGAGACAGCGGUUUCAAAACACUGCAGUAAACAAGGUCAAAGUGUCCCGUUUCACUGGAAGAAGGUUUGUUUUUAUGAGCUGGACAGUACAUGGAUGAAGUAAUUUUUCAAAACAAACUUUAAAUUUAUACGUGUUUUUUUUUCUUCUUCUUUGGAUUUAAAAAAAAUAUUGGCUGGUUGAGAUUAAAUAAUGGUUACGUUUUUAAGCAGAAUUAUAUUUCAUAUGUUUUUCCAGUCUUGUAUUGAUUUUGUUUUUCACAGAAGAAAUGAAAAUAACUUCUGAUUUAGGGAUUCUUACAUGUAGUUGUAGAGAGCAAGACAGGACCCAGUACUUUGAAAACACGGCAAGUGCAAGUCACCAUCCCUAGUAAGAUACUCCCUCUCAUUUUGACUCUUAUUUAGAUAGACAUUUAAGUACGAGAGAGCUAAUGGCGCAGAUUUCUGCUGACUGUGUGGUUCUAGUCUUAAUGCAUUUUCCAGCCUUGAACCUGAGAAUGCCAGAGAGUUGAGUCUCUGGACAUUCAUCUGAGCAGAUAUCUGCUGGCCGCCUGGUUCCUGAGCUAACAAGUGGGUGUCCCAGGCAUGUGUGUGUAGUCACAACAGCGGAGGUGCCACGUGGCACCCAGAGGUCGACUGGGGCUACCACAGGGCUUCCCGAUCUCAGAAGCGUGUCUUCAGUGUGUGAGAUGGACUGGGAACAUGGGGCAUCUUGAGAAGUGCAGACAUUUGGAGUUCCACGGGGAAACCUGGAUGUAAGCACUCACACAGCUUUUAAAGUGAAAGCAGGGACCUUGAGGGAGGAAUUGGCGUCAUCUCAUUCCUGACCUGCUUACUGUGCUGGGAAACAAAGUAAGUUCUGUUUGUUUCUUUGUUAGUCUCUCCUGCGUGUUUUUUCUUGCUAACAUUAUUAGACACUCAAUAUCUGGCAAAUGCCAAGUUUUUUUCCCCUUCAUUGGGAAGUAGGAUGUAGUUUGUUCAGUAGCUGAUUGCUGCUUUUAUCUUUUCUCUCUUCCCAUAUCUAGCGUGCCGGCUUGCUGUUUAGAGAUAGUAAGAGAUUGAAAUUUAUUAUCAAGGAGAAAACAAAAAGUGUUUCGUUUUGUUUCUUAAUGGCCCAAGAGCUUUGCCAUUAGGUAAAUGACUGACAUGGGCAAGGCAUUUUGCAUGUCAGGAGUACCUCCAGCAAAACCACCCCAGUUCGCCACCCUGAUUUCCAUUUGGAAGCGGGCAAAGCAGGUGUCCCCAGGACAAGUGUGAAGGCAGAGGGUCCUUGUGCAGGAACCGUGCAGAAACUAGGAGGGAAGGGUCACAGACAAGAGGCUGCAAUUUAAAAACACAUCAGGAAAGUUGUGUUGGCAAAGAGCUGUGAGAAUAUAAAUUAUUUAGUGAUGUUGAUACAAACAGAUUUAAUAUAAAAAUGAGAUAAAAUAGAGACCUAACCCCGUUAACAGCAACUAAGCUUUUCUUUCAUGUUAGAGAGUUUUGUGCCAUGUAGAUUUAUGGAACAUGUGCUGAAUUGCCUUCGUCACCUUCAUAGAAGAUUCUGUGACAUUAGCCUAAUUCUGACAUGUGGCCCCUGCUUUCCAUUUUGCUUGUUUGUUUUUUAUGUUGAUCCUCUCUCCAGAGAUGUAAUGUGGAUGAAUUAACUUUUAAUACAAAGUUCUGUGGCUUUUGAAAAUGCAGAACAAAUGGAGAUGAAGAGUGGUUUGUGAUUUGUUAUUAAAUGGUCUUUCCUUCUAAAUCUAGGACUGAUUUUUACUCUAGAAUUUUCUUUUCUUUUUUUUUGAGGGGGGCGUUCAACUUGAACAGCAGCACCUUGAAGGUGAAAGGUAGGAGCAUGACUGGAGUGUGGAACUGGAAAGCAGAAACUUCUAGAUCUAGUAUGGAAUGUCGUGAAUUUGAGUUAGAGCCUCUGUGUCGUGCAAAUUCCCAUUUUAUCUCAAAGUGGUGCUGAUAGCACUGGAGGUGGCUGUAUUUUAUUUGAAACAUUCCAGACUCUUUACAGGAAUAUCUGUGAAUUAUUAAUUCAGCAAACAUCUUUAAGUAUCUCGUCUAUGUACAGCGUUGUAGUCAGCGAUAUAAUUGUUUCACCAUUAAAUUUACAGAAAUUCAGUUUGUAAAUGAAAAGUUAAGAACAGUUUGAAAGAAGGGCGAAUGAGCAGAGUAUUACCAUCGAAACCCUCUUGUUAAAGAUAAUGCCAAGUGAGCAGGACUGUCCUCUUCUGAGCUGCCCCUCCUAAUUAAAGGGAAAGGUGGCUGCCAUCUGUCUUCUUUCAUUCAAGGCAGUAGGGGGUCUAGGGUGGAAGGAAGCAACCCCCCCUUUAUUUUUCUCCCACUCCUUUUUAUAGUCAGCUUUCUCCCUAGUCAGUGACCCAGAAGGUCAUUGAUGAUCUGUCUAUCUCAGAGUGAGGAGUAGCAUAAGCACGCUUGGCACUUGCAGAAAAAAAAAAAGCUUAUAACAUGCAUUGAUCCAUUUAAAGUUCUGUUUGAAUUAUGUCGGAGACUAUCGUAAUCUCUGUGUUGGUGUCUCUGCCCUGUUUGUUACCGAGGGCACUACUGGAAGGAAACAUAGGGAGCUUUACUUUUAUUGAUUUUGCUUUUUCAUGAAAAAGUGUUUACACUCCACUGGGCAUAAUCAGAAGAUGGCAGCAUGUGGCUAUGUACAGGAGAUGUGGGGACGUACUGGAAUAUUAUUAUGAUGAAAAUCAAGGACACCUGUUAAUUAUGAUACAUACAUGUCAUCUCAGGAGAAAACAUGAACAAGGGUGGCAGCAGGUGUCCAAGAUAGUCAGUGGCCUGCUGCAGCUUCUUGGACCAAUUAUUGAAAUAAUUCACAUUGUUUAUCUUUCGUUAAGCAAUAAGGCUUUAGCCCUUUUCUUGUAAGAAUAUGUUGCAGGAGAAUUUAAUUAGUUUGGGGUCAUGUCUUAAUUGCUUGGGAAAUGUAGAAUAGUCUUCCAACAGAAUGAUUGCAUUUUCUUGCCUCAGUUUCCAUCUCUGUAAAUAGAAAAAAUGUGUGCUGCUUUUAUAAAUAUUUAAGAGAAUAUGAAAUAAUAUUUUCUGUCUUUCAUAAGAACUAUAUUAUGACUGAAAAAUUCUGAAAUCUUCAGUUAUUUUUAUUUUCAACUUUUGUAUGCUUAAGCAAGGUGUUAACAGUCUUCUAAAGAGAUUCAGUUGUUACAAACCCGGUUUAGUUCCCAAGUAGCAGAUACGGACUUCUCAGAAUGUACUGGUUUUUAGAACUCUCUUCGUGACACAAAAGUGUGGUAUUUCUUAAACCCAUAACAAUAUAUCUGGAGAGCUCAAAUGUGAGAGUCAUGUCUGUAAUUUCAUUUAGAGCUUUUUUUUUUUUUUCCUUCCACAAUUUGUCACCAACUUGCAACAAGCUUUCUUGGGAACGUAGAUGUGUUUAUGUUGCUGAGUCUUGAGAUGAACGUGUGGGCUUCUGAGGUCAUUGAUGCCUGCUGUGUAUGAUUGGAUGAUACCUGAAAAAUGGGUCACUUCCUAGUCAGCGAGGGGUACACAGGGCACAGGCAGGGCUUUUUUGCUUUUUCCAUGUUUUUGUUUUCGGAGUGUGUGUGUGUGUGUGUGUGUGUGUGUGUGUGUGUACUAAUUUUAGAUACUCAGCUGGGUACUUGAUUGGCUAUCCUUUGUAGCAUGUGAUUUAAAUUAAUUUGGUUUUACCCAUCAGUAUUUAUUUCAAGGGGACUAAAUAAACACAUUAAAUGUAAUUCAAGAAGGAGAUGUGAAAGAGAAGGGGGAAAAAAAAGACACAUUGAAUGAAUCGCUUAAGAACUUUCUAUCUUCUUUUGACCAUCCACAGUGGUGGGAAACCUCUGUCCUUUGACGGUAGGAGGGGGCCAGUAGUGAGGUCUCAUGAAUAUGGUAGGUGAUCAAACCACUGAUUUGAGUCAUUGCUUCAUGUUAUAAACAUGUACUGAGCCAGCUACUACAUUUCAGUAGAAAGUACUGUAGAUUCAAAAGUGAACAGCUCAUGGGUCUGGCAUUUCAGAAAGCCACAGGUUAGUGAGAUAAAUGACUAGAUAAAGAGGUACACGUGUGUUUUUAGAGCCCAGAAGGAGUCAAAAUAAAAUUUUAGGCGGGGCACAGAGGCUCAUAUCUGUAAUCCCAGCACUCUAGGAGGCUGAGGCGGGAGGAUCACUUGAGGCCAGGAGU
This is a long non-coding RNA of Sapajus apella (tufted capuchin), 9286 nucleotides long. RefSeq lists it as uncharacterized. The transcript has 6 exons. The record is from RefSeq and is a predicted model, not a curated record. Lineage: Eukaryota; Metazoa; Chordata; Mammalia; Primates; Cebidae.